Sardina pilchardus (European sardine) is the source of this 312-nucleotide long non-coding RNA. RefSeq lists it as uncharacterized. The transcript has 3 exons. Lineage: Eukaryota; Metazoa; Chordata; Actinopteri; Clupeiformes; Clupeidae. The record is from RefSeq and is a predicted model, not a curated record.
GGACACGCUUCUGGUUUGGAUAUUUAUUUGGACUUUAUACCACUUAAAGGAAUUCAAACUUGAACGCAACACCAACAAAGACGCUUACGCUGGUCCAGCAAAUACGAGGAGUAGCGGGCAGGGAGUCCAGCACGCCACAGUUCUUCAAUAUUGUUUUCUUCAUGGUGCUGAUGAGGAAGUGACUGCAGCUCUGCCUCCAAUAUGAGUCAGCAUGGAGCCUCUGCUGGUGGCCAUGGACAUUCAAGGCCAGUGGAUGAGAGGACACACUCCCCUGCACCCAGCUGUGUGUCCAUGAAGAGCGAUCGCUCAAAG